ACACUAAGGUGAGCGAGAGAACUCUCGUUAAGGAACUCGGCAAAAUGACCCCGUAACUUCGGAAGAAGGGGUGCUAGCCAAGAGAUUGGUUAGCCGCAGUGAAUAGGCCCAAACAACUGUUUAUCAAAAACACAGGUCUCUGCAAAAUCGUAAGAUGACGUAUAGAGGCUGACACCUGCCCGGUGCUGGAAGGUUAAGAGGAGAGCUUAGCGUAAGCGAAGGUUUGAAUUGAAGCCCCAGUAAACGGCGGCCGUAACUAUAACGGUCCUAAGGUAGCGAAAUUCCUUGUCGGGUAAGUUCCGACCUGCACGAAAGGUGUAAUGAUUUGGGCACUGUCUCAACGAGAGACUCGGUGAAAUUAUAAUACCCGUGAAGAUGCGGGUUACCCGCGACAGGACGGAAAGACCCCAUGGAGCUUCACUGUAGCUUGAUAUUGAGUAUCUUUUAAACAUGUACAGGAUAGGUAGGAGCCAGAGAAGAUAGGACGCUAGUCUUAUUGGAGGCAAUGUUGGGAUACUACCCUUGUUUGAAGGAUGCUCUAACCUCGACCUGUAAGCCAGGCCAGGGACAGUGUCAGGUGGGCAGUUUGACUGGGGCGG
RNAcentral lists this ribosomal RNA (599 nucleotides) under Lactobacillus crispatus. Its description in RNAcentral is "partial 23S ribosomal RNA". It matches the Rfam family "Bacterial large subunit ribosomal RNA", at positions 1678 to 2282 of the family's 2925-position model. Lineage: Bacteria; Bacillati; Bacillota; Bacilli; Lactobacillales; Lactobacillaceae. The record is from RNAcentral.